UGGAGAGGUGUAAUGCCUCGUAACUUGU
This 28-nucleotide non-coding RNA is filed under the name Trypanosoma brucei brucei. Lineage: Eukaryota; Euglenozoa; Kinetoplastea; Trypanosomatida; Trypanosomatidae. The record is from RNAcentral.